Long non-coding RNA from Coturnix japonica (Japanese quail), 1736 nucleotides. Lineage: Eukaryota; Metazoa; Chordata; Aves; Galliformes; Phasianidae. The record is from Ensembl.
UAAGGUUAGAGGGAAACAUGAGAGCUGCCUUAAUGUUUUUCUGGUUUCUGUAGUCUUCAGCAAAAGUCAGAGCAUCCACAGCACUGGUGCAAGACGGACUGGCACCCAGUCAGUCAGCACUGGACUAUGCUGACAGUAGCCUGAAAUAGCUACAGUACACAGGGCCUUGUUGGAAUCCAACAGAGCACUGCACUAGCAAGCACAGAACUAAGGUCUGAGCCCCGAAGUAAGUGGCUGUGGUUGGAGGGGCUGUUUGUUGCAUCUGGGAGAGGGGGUAGAUCUGAGAACCUGCAGCAAAUGGAACAGUGUCCCAGAGUUUGCUGAAGAGGCUGCUAGCUGUAGCACAAAUGUUGUGCUACAGCUUCAUGACUUCAUUUGGAAGCUUUGUGAAACUGAAUGGAUGUCUUGGAUAACACCCAGAUCACUAGGAAAAUAUCCAAGUGCAGAGCCAGGCACAAACCUUCAGGCUUACAGAGUCCCCUUGAGCAUCACCACUGGGAACAGCAGAUCAGGGUGGGAUACAGCCCUAUUAGGAGCCAGCUCCAGAGCAUGCAGAAAGGAGGUACUGGAAGCAACAGCACACCGGUCCUGUCUUGCUGAUAUCUUCUUGGAGAGUAGUGGCUGCAGGGGCUCCUUUCUGCUAAUGUCCUGUGCAAGUGAAGAAAUUAAGUAUGUGCAGUCUUGGAGAGCAGUAACAUUUUUGUCCCCUCUUGGGGAUGAAGCAUGCUUUACCUGAUGACGUGUGGCUAGUUUUCUGACUCAGCAACCCAUGGAGAAACCUUCUGCUUUAAAUUAGCCAUCUGCAUAUCUGUAUGUAUAUGUAUGCACACAUGCACACAUUUCACUCACAUACACAUGUCUGUGAGUUCUAACCUGCCAAACCUGUGUGGGAUGCCAGACAUGGGCACAAACAGGUACAGCCACUGACUGAGGGUAUGGAAAAAGGAGUGGCUAGCUUGGAGAACUUGUCUCUGCCUUGCAUUUCCCUGCUCUUCAUUUUUUCAUGCUAGCAGAGUAGAAAAGAGCCACAGUGGAUUGCGGGACAACAGUGGAAAACCUGCAUGCCAUGUGGACAUGCCUCGGGUGCUGUUUAUGUGCCCUGUGGGUUUGCAGCAAGGAAGAGAGCAAGCACAUUCCAGUCCCAAGAUGGACACUGAGGGCAGCCUUGGGAAGCAGUAUAGAUGGGCCCAACAGCAUCUCUGCUUUCAGCAUCCUCAUGCUUUGCUUGCUUUUCUUGAAAUUCAUGUAUUUGUAUAGUUUGCAGGUAACUGAUGAAUUAUGUUUCAUUAAAGAUUGGGUGAAAGAGCUUUACUGCUGGCUCCAGCUUUGAAAGAGUUUAAGCUGGAAGUUGGGCUUAGAUACCAGUCUGCUGAGCCUGUGAAGACUCCUCAUUCUAGUCAGGAACACACUCUGGUACAGAAAAUUCAGGCCAAGUACAGAAGCAUAUUUCAGACGGAAAUCCAUAUGGGUCAUGGAAGAUGCAGCUUAGCCUAGAGGCUUAGUUGACAGAAGGUUUAAUUUAACUCUGGUGUUUUUUAUUUUCACUGUGUACUGUUUUAUUCUGAAUUUACUGUUGGAAUAUUUAUACAUUAUUUCAGUUUCUCUGGAAUGUUAACUACCAAAAGAAAACAUUUUUGAUGCUUCUUUUGCCUCCUCUUUUUCUUCUUAUACUGGAACCAGCACUCCAGCAUCAAUAUGCAAAACUGUGGUAUGACGGUUUGCCUCAAUGUGAUUGC